Molecule: ribosomal RNA, 395 nt
Filed under: uncultured bacterium
Lineage: Bacteria
Description: bacterial SSU rRNA
Rfam family: Bacterial small subunit ribosomal RNA
Source: RNAcentral
UAAGGAAUAUUGGACAAUGGUCGCAAAACUGAUCCAGCCAUGCCGCGUGCAGGCAGACGGCCCUAUGGGUUGUAAACUGCUUUUGUACCAGAGAAAACCUAUCUACGUGUAGAUAGCUGAUAGUAUGGUAAGAAUAAGCAUCGGCUAACUUCGUGCCAGCAGCCGCGGUAAGACGAAGGAUGCAAGCGUUAUCCGGAUUCAUUGGGUUUACAGGGUGCGUAGGCGGGCUUGUAAGUUAGUGGUGAAAUCUCUCAGCUUAACUGAGAAACUGCCAUUGAUACUGCAGGCCUAGAGUAUAGAUGACGUCGGCGGAAUAUGACAUGUAGUGGUGAAAUACUUAGAUAUGUCAUAGAACACCGAUUGCAAAGGCAGCUAACGAAACUAUAACUGACGCU